UGACAACCCAGAGGCUCUAAGACGGGUCCGCAACCCUAGUCUGUGGCUCAUUAGGAACAGGUUGCACAGCAGGAGGUGAGUGGUGGGCGAGUGAGCAAAGCUUCAUCUGUAUUUUUACAACCAUCACUCGCGUUACUACCCGAGCUCUGCCUCCUGUCAGAUCAGGGCAGCGUUAGAUUCUCAUAGGAGCAGGAACUCUAUUGUGAACUGAGCAAGUGUGAGGGAUCUAGGUUGCAUGCUUCUUGUGAGAAUCUAAUGCCUGAUGAUCUGUCAUUGUCUCCCAUCUCAUCUAAUUGCAGGAAAACAAGCUCAGGGCUCCCACUGAUUGUACAUUAUGAGACAGAGUCUUCUUGCUAUGUUGCCCAGGCUGGUCUUGAACUCCUAACCUCAAGCGAUCCUCCCAUCUUGGCCUCCCAGGUGUCAGGAUUACAGGCAUGUGCUAUCACACCCAACCUGAUACAUUGCCUUUAUAAAUUUUUUUUUCUUUAUUCUAAAAAACAGAAAAAACAAAACUGGAUACAUGUGCAGAACAUGCAGACCAAGUGUGUUGGGGACUUGAGAUAUGUACAUGAGUGUUUGUGAUGUUUCCUGGUGAAAGCACAGGUGAGACGUGGUCUUGUAACACAGUGGUUAAGAAUGUGACUUUGGAGCCAGCCUGCUAGGGGCUGAAUUCUGACUCAGCCAUUUAUUAACUGUGUGACCUUAGGUAAGUCAUUUACCUUCUCUGUCCCUCAGUUUCAUCUUGGUAAAGUAGGGAUAAUGAUAGAACUUAUUUUAUAGGGUUAUUGUGAGGAAUAAAUCCAAGUAAAAUGCUUAGAAUAGUAACUGAAACAUAGCACUCAUUAAGUAUGCUUUAAUUUUCAU
RNAcentral lists this non-coding RNA (864 nucleotides) under Pongo abelii (Sumatran orangutan). Lineage: Eukaryota; Metazoa; Chordata; Mammalia; Primates; Hominidae. The record is from RNAcentral.